RNAcentral lists this ribosomal RNA (468 nucleotides) under uncultured bacterium. RNAcentral's name for it is "partial 16S ribosomal RNA". It matches the Rfam family "Bacterial small subunit ribosomal RNA", at positions 28 to 507 of the family's 1533-position model. The record is from RNAcentral.
GACGAACGCUGGCGGCGUGCUUAACACAUGCAAGUCGAACGGAAAGGCCCUGCUUUUGUGGGGUGCUCGAGUGGCGAACGGGUGAGUAACACGUGAGUAACCUGCCCUUGACUUUGGGAUAACUUCAGGAAACUGGGGCUAAUACCGGAUAGGAGCUCCUGCUGCAUGGUGGGGGUUGGAAAGUUUCGGCGGUUGGGGAUGGACUCGCGGCUUAUCAGCUUGUUGGUGGGGUAGUGGCUUACCAAGGCUUUGACGGGUAGCCGGCCUGAGAGGGUGACCGGCCACACUGGGACUGAGAUACGGCCCAGACUACUACGGGAGGCAGCAGUGGGGAAUAUUGCACAAUGGGCGGAAGCCUGAUGCAGCAACGCCGCGUGCGGGAUGACGGCCUGCGGGUUGUAUUCCGCUUUCGCCUGUGACGAAGCGUGAGUGACGGUAAUGGGUAAAGAAGCACCGGCUAACUACGUG